GAGGUUGUGGCUCAGCAGUAGAGCGCGCGCCUAGCACGUGCGAGGCCCUGGGUUCGUUCCUCAGCACCACA
Non-coding RNA from Ictidomys tridecemlineatus (thirteen-lined ground squirrel), 71 nucleotides. NCBI's taxonomy places the organism in Eukaryota, Metazoa, Chordata, Mammalia, Rodentia, Sciuridae. The record is from Rfam.